This 1441-nucleotide long non-coding RNA is filed under the name Rhagoletis pomonella (apple maggot). RNAcentral describes it as "uncharacterized LOC118737563, transcript variant X1". The stretch from base 130 to 213 matches the Rfam family "mir-252 microRNA precursor family". Lineage: Eukaryota; Metazoa; Arthropoda; Insecta; Diptera; Tephritidae. The record is from RNAcentral.
UUAAGACGAAAUCAUACAAUUGAAAGUGAAAGUGAAGGAAGCUUAAAUAUCUUAAAGGCUAAUAUUUUGAUGGCAGAAGAUCAAGUGAAUAUUGAAAAUUAAAUGUGUCGCCGACUCUCUACACGAAUAUCACUUUUCUAAGUACUAGUGCCGCAGGAGAUAGUUUAAUCGACAUAUAGUAGACCCCUGCUGCCCCAGUGCUUAUCAAAGUGAUUCUAGUGACAACUAUUUAACUAUUUAAAAGCAGCUUCAAUCUAAAAAAAAAAAUUGCUUAAAAAGAAAAUAAAUUAAUUCAAAUAUGACGAAAGAUAAAAAGUGGAUUAAAAUGUGUAACAGUGAAAACUAAGGCCCAAUUUCAGAUGAGCAAUUUAAGUGCCGAUUGAUGAUUAGAUAUUCAUUUUCGGAUCAAAUAUUUAAACUGUAUUUACAUGCCCAAUGUCGGCUAUUUAAAAAUGUAAAAUGCACACUCGCUUCUCGACUAAAUAGCAACUGAUAACUCAAAAUAAAACCAAAAUAAUUAUAUAAAAAGCAAAAGUGAUUGAAAUUAAAAAUUAAAAUAAAUUCGAGUGACCAAAGUGACAUGGAAUGCGCGAUUCUAUAGCCCGUCAUUACAACUCGACGUCCACGGUCUAUAAAAGGUGCGCCAAUUCGUUUCAGAGACUUCGGCGAAAAGGAUUUGCGGGACAGAUUCAGUGGAAUCAAAGCGACAGUAUGGGUGGUGUAGACGAUGAUACCGGAUAAAAUUUAACAUAAAAAACAUGGAAUAAUGCUCUAGCUCCCGAAGAAAUGCUUCAGCUGACUUUGCGAUUCCAUGCCACGGGUUGCAUGUAAAGGACUGGAGGGGACUUAAUCGGAGUUUCUCUCAGCACUGCUUCCCAAGUUAUAAGGCGGCCAUGAUGCGGAGUUAUACCGCAAAGUCCAAAGAACUGACCUUAUUCAACAGCGUCUGAAAUAUAUUGGAUGGAGUACAAACGAUGCCACAAUACUUCGUAACUCGCGUAUUUAUAUGCGCUUCGAACGGGUGAAUUCGGGAAUUCAAUGGUUGUAGCAGACAACGGUCUUCCCUGUAAUCACUGGAUAAUGACAACGAUAUUCAAUGUUCGUACUCCAGUAGAGGCGCUGUACGCUGUGCGAAUCCCAGACUCGAACGAGGUAAAGUUUUGAGCAGUCCUAAGGCGUGUGGAAACGAAGAUUUCCGGUCCUUUCGGUGGGUAUAAAGCUGAAUAUCCAGCGUGUAGAAAGCUUUAAUAUGGCGCCACCUAUUUCGGAAGAAAUUCGCGCUCACAUAAAUGCUGUUUUAAAUAUGCCAUCUAUUUCAAUUAACAAAAAUAGUACGAUUAAUAUUAGCAGAUAAUCAGUUAGUAAUCACUUUGAAAAUUUCUAGAGUAAAUAUAGUAUCAGUUGAAUUUACUGUGAAUGGGUAAAAUCCUAAAUGGGCUAU